This 531-nucleotide ribosomal RNA is filed under the name Clavispora lusitaniae. Its description in RNAcentral is "partial large subunit ribosomal RNA". It matches the Rfam family "Eukaryotic large subunit ribosomal RNA", at positions 1 to 583 of the family's 3401-position model. The record is from RNAcentral. Lineage: Eukaryota; Fungi; Ascomycota; Pichiomycetes; Serinales; Metschnikowiaceae.
AUUUUUUUUCCCUUGGGGGGGAAGAGACCCCCACGGAGAGCCCCCCUAAAGGGGAGAGUAGAGGCGCAAGAUCUAAUAUGAGAUCUCGCGGGAAAAGUAAUAUGAGGGGUUUUUGGUGUGAGUGUGGCGCGCCCACAUCCACAGGAACACGGGGCGCGGGAGGGGGAGAGACCCCUAUGGGGCACGCGGAGUCUUUGUACACCGCGGCUCCGACGAGUCGAGUUGUUUGGGAAUGCAGCUCUAAGUGGGUGGUAAAUUCCAUCUAAAGCUAAAUAUUGGCGAGAGACCGAUAGCGAACAAGUACAGUGAUGGAAAGAUGAAAAGCACUUUGAAAAGAGAGUGAAACAGCACGUGAAAUUGUUGAAAGGGAAGGGCUUGCAAGCAGACACGGUUUUACCGGGCCAGCGUCGAAAAGGGGGGAGGAACAAGAACUCGAGAAUGUGGCGCGCACCUUCGGGCGCGCGUGUUAUAGCUCGUGUUGACGCCUCCAUCCCUUUCGAGGCCUGCGAUCUAGGAUCGCUGCGAAUGCAG